GGAGUUUGGACCGUGUCUCAGUUCCAAUGUGGGGGACCUUCCUCUCAGAACCCCUAAGGAUCGUAGGCUCGGUGGGCCGUUACCCCGCCGACUACCUAAUCCUACGCAUCGCCAUCCCUUACCGAUAAAUCUUUCAUACUCUUCUGAUGCCAUCUAAAUAUAUAUCGGGCAUUAAUUCGGUUUUCACCGGGCUAUUCCCGAGUAAGGGGAAGGUUCGAUACGCGUUACGCACCCGUGCGCCGGUCGCCAUCAGAAGUUGCAAGCAACUCCCAUGAUGCCCCUCGACUUGCAUGUGUUAAGCCUGUAGCUAGCGUUCAUC
Molecule: ribosomal RNA, 319 nt
Filed under: uncultured Prevotella sp.
Lineage: Bacteria; Pseudomonadati; Bacteroidota; Bacteroidia; Bacteroidales; Prevotellaceae
Description: partial 16S ribosomal RNA
Source: RNAcentral